Long non-coding RNA from Mesocricetus auratus (golden hamster), 1628 nucleotides. RefSeq lists it as uncharacterized. Lineage: Eukaryota; Metazoa; Chordata; Mammalia; Rodentia; Cricetidae. The transcript has 3 exons. The record is from RefSeq and is a predicted model, not a curated record.
AGAGUGUCUCAGACACAACAGCAGGACAACGCACCCAGGAACUUACGGCGGCUGUGGUUGCCUCCCCUUCUAGAGAUCAAGCCAACAUGGUCACGUGUUCAGUACGGAGGGGGCGGGCUUCAUGAGCCUCUCACCCUGAACUGAGGAGCUGAGACAGCUGACUGGUGGAGAGUCGGUUUUUCUGUGUGCCAGCGGAUGGUCCCACACGCCGAGCUGAGAUCACUGAAGUCAAAGUCCCUGAGUCAGAAACAAAGGUGUCUUGGAGCUGGCCGGGCUACACUGCUACCCUACCUGCCAACAGAGUGGGCAGCCGGAAGAGGCCCCGGCUGGGCUGCUGCAGCAUCCGUGGCAAGCUGCUUCCAGCCUGGGGCCGCAACAUUCCUAUCUAGAAGCUUCUCUCAGCUUUUUAUCGUACCUCAAGAGCCGCCUUCCUAAGAGCGGGACCAAGAGGGAGAAGCAGCCCAGAUCCAAACGGCUCAUGUUCCUCACCAUAGGUCCUUCCUGCUCAGCCAUCCGACUCCACCCCUGCCCCUCUCACCCCCCACCCCUGCUGUAGCCAGACUAGAGUGGGAACUGAAGGGGAGAUGGGGUUGGAGGUGCAGCCCAAGAGGCUUUCCACUUCCCACAGGGAGCCCGCUUACUCAGUAGGCACCCCAUAAAUAUUUGCUGGACAAUGGAUCCGAGAAUGCAACACACAGCCAGUCCGAACCAGCGCCUCCCAAAAGAACUCUGCAAGGGUGCAGAUGUGUUCCACCUGCCUUGCUUGGCGCAGGAGCCACGGGCGGCCAGGAAUCCAUCCUUGAGUAUAGCACUCCCAAGGCUUCCCACUGCGCCAACUGACAUUGUAACAGGAGGCACGGUGCCACUCACCUGUAGUCCCAGCACUCAGGAGGCGGAGGCGGGAGGAUCUCGGGUUUGAAGGCGACCUGUACUACACAGCAAGGUCCUGCCCCAGACAAACCAAACAACCAAGUGAGCAUUUGAGAAACCUAAGUCCACUGGGGGCUGGAGAGACCCGGGUUUGUUUCCCAGCCCCCACAUUGUUACUCAGAGGCAUCAAUCACUCCAGUUUCAGGUGACCGACGCCCUCUCUGACCUCCAAGGACACUGCAUGUACACAUACAUACAGCAGAGCUCAUAUACACACAACAAUGUUUCUUUAAAACACUCACAGGCUGAACAGACGAGACGGCUCAUCAGUUAACAGCAUGUACUACUUGCCGGACAUGGUGGCACGCACCUUUAAUCCCAGCACUUGGGAGGCACAGGCAGGCAGAUCUAUGAGUCUGAGGCCAGUCUACAGAAUGAGUUCUAGGACAGCCACAGCUCUGAUACACAGAGAAACCCUGUCUCAGAAAACAAAAAAAGCACCCACUGCAGAUUUGGAUCCUGGCACACACCUCGGGUGACCCACGACCACCUGUAACUCCAGCUCAAGGGGAUCUCACCUCCACAGGCACCUGCCCUCACAUACUACCCCCCCACAUAAUUAAACAUUUAUCUAGAUAGUCCUACAUCCUAGUGGGCAGCAACUACCCAAACCCUCUCUUCUGCUCCUCCCAGAGUCUUGUGCCCCAGGAGACAAACAGUUACUUCUUGGCCAAAAUAAAGAAGCAUUUCCGUGUUAA